Molecule: long non-coding RNA, 1464 nt
Filed under: Bos indicus x Bos taurus (hybrid cattle)
Lineage: Eukaryota; Metazoa; Chordata; Mammalia; Artiodactyla; Bovidae
Description: lncRNA (ENSBIXG00005003942.1)
Source: RNAcentral
CUCUGUUCUCCGCGCCGCACUGAGGGGCUUUCUUCGCAGCCGUGGGAAACUGGUGGGCGAGCGCGCGCCCCGCCGCCAUGUGGACGCUCGGCCAGGGAAAGCCCAGUGAACCAGAAAAGGAGAAUUUUUCUGCAGUGCUGGAGUGUGAAAACGGCUACAGGAGGAGGAAAUGCCAGCUUCCACCCAGUUCUUCCUCCAUCACCCUCACGAACUUCUUGGCCAGGCUCUGCUCACCACCCCCCACCCGCACCCCCUACCUCCAACCUAGAGCACUUGAGAUGACUAACUGCAGCGUGGAUGUCAAGGCAGGCCUGGAGCUCAGGAGGAGGGUACAGAGAGAAACCUGCUUUACCAUUGGUGAACUUGACAUCAUGGUCUUGGACACGCACUGUGGAAAGAUGGGCUUGUACAUUCAAAAUGCAGGAAGCAGUGAGCUCCAGGAGAUGGUGAAGCUCCGGGAGUAGUGAAGAACAGGGAAGCCUGGCAUGCUGCAGUCCAUGGGGUCACACAGAGGUGGAAGGACUGAGUGACUGAACAAUAGCAACAAAGCAGUGAGCUCAAGGUCUGACCCAUAGCCCUCGCAUUCUGCUGAUGGGAAUGAGGGAAGACACCCAGAUGCACAGCCUCUGUAGCUGGAGACCAGACAGUGUUUCAUAGCAUCCUUCAUGACGGAGACCUUGAGGGUGGUUAUGUCCAAGGGCUGGUGAGUUGUCCGAGGAUGAGCCUCAAGGCCCAUGGCAGCAAGGAAAGCACUUCCUAUACAGCCUCCAAGUCUUCAGCAUGUUUGCAGGCACUUGGAUGGAGCUGUAGGUGGAAGACUCCUCAAGUUUGCAGACCAUCAAAUCUGAGAAGAGUAGGAAAUGCACUGUGUGAUAAAAGCUAACAGGUUUGCUCAGGCUGGGUGAAUAGGGCCCAUUUCUGAGAUGAGUCUGAAGACGGUUCAGUGUCACACUCUGCUUAUGGGGUCCAAGACAUCACCUGCCUCAGCAUGUGUGGGGAAAAAAAAAAAAACACGGAAGGAUCUGGGGUAUUCAGCAUAUUGCCAAUCAACUGUGUGGUUAAUCUGAACAAAACAGAGAUGUGAUCUUCAGCUACAUUGAAGAAGUUCUUGUUUUCCAAGAUUUCUUUGUCCUGUGAAUCCCAUUAAGGGAUUUCUUAUGGGUCCACUGACCACUCAAAUCAAAAACUUCUGGGGCUUGUUAAAAAUUCAGAUUUGGGGGCCCACCUAGAUUAUUCAUUCAGGCUGUAUAGGGAGGAAGCCCCAGAAGAUGUAUUUUCAACCACCUCCCAAGUGAUUUUUUGAGAACAUUUUCAACCCUGCCUACCUCUUUAGCUAAUGCUAUGCCCUCUUGCCAGGACUGUUUUACUGCUGAGCAAAAUAAGAGGACCCCCUGCCCAGCCAAGCUUCCCUCUAGGCUAGAAAUUCUACUAGUGGAACUUGGUCCUUUGGGUUAGAAUCCCACC